CUGUUAAAAUAAAGAGAUAAAUGAGUUGUAGAAGAAGAAGUUGAAUGCUAUUGACAUAUCCUCCGUCUUUAUAUACAGGUUAGAAGGAGAAGUUUCCUCAACGGGUUAGAGGAUUUCCCUCAACAGAGUAGAGAGAUUUCCUCAACAGUUAGGGAAAUCUCAUCUACUUAUCAUGCCCCCGCAAGAUGGUGCUCCUAUCAAGGAGGCCAAUCUUGGACUGAUGUAAUGCAAACAGUUUNN
This 240-nucleotide long non-coding RNA is filed under the name Musa acuminata (dwarf banana). RNAcentral describes it as "long non-coding RNA (MACU_LNC002666)". The record is from RNAcentral. Lineage: Eukaryota; Viridiplantae; Streptophyta; Magnoliopsida; Zingiberales; Musaceae.